This 497-nucleotide ribosomal RNA is filed under the name uncultured bacterium. Its description in RNAcentral is "partial 16S ribosomal RNA". It matches the Rfam family "Bacterial small subunit ribosomal RNA", at positions 28 to 507 of the family's 1533-position model. The record is from RNAcentral.
GAUGAACGCUGGCGGCGUGCCUAAUACAUGCAAGUCGAGCGAACAGACGAGGAGCUUGCUCCUUUGACGUUAGCGGCGGACGGGUGAGUAACACGUAGGUAACCUACCUAUAAGACUGGGAUAACUUCGGGAAACCGGAGCUAAUACCGGAUAAUAUUUCGAACCGCAUGGUUCGAUAGUGAAAGAUGGCUUUGCUAUCACUUAUAGAUGGACCUGCGCCGUAUUAGCUAGUUGGUAAGGUAACGGCUUACCAAGGCAACGAUACGUAGCCGACCUGAGAGGGUGAUCGGCCACACUGGAACUGAGACACGGUCCAGACUCCUACGGGAGGCAGCAGUAGGGAAUCUUACGCAAUGGGCGAAAGCCUGACGGAGCAACGCCGCGUGAGUGAUGAAGGUCUUCGGAUCGUAAAACUCUGUUAUUAGGGAAGAACAAAAGUGUAAGUAACUGUGCACGUCUUGACGGUACCUAAUCAGAAAGCCCCGGCUAACUACGUG